GAUGAACGCUAGCUACAGGCUUAACACAUGCAAGUCGAGGGGAAACGGCAUUUAGUGCUUGCACUGAAUGGACGUCGACCGGCGCACGGGUGAGUAACGCGUAUCCAACCUUCCCCAUUACUGUGGGAUAACCUGCCGAAAGGCAGACUAAUACCGCAUAGUCUUCGAUGACGGCAUCAGAUUUGAAGUAAAGAUUUAUCGGUAAUGGAUGGGGAUGCGUCUGAUUAGCUUGUUGGCGGGGUAACGGCCCACCAAGGCAACGAUCAGUAGGGGUUCUGAGAGGAAGGUCCCCCACAUUGGAACUGAGACACGGUCCAAACUCCUACGGGAGGCAGCAGUGAGGAAUAUUGGUCAAUGGACGAGAGUCUGAACCAGCCAAGUAGCGUGCAGGAUGACGGCCCUAUGGGUUGUAAACUGCUUUUGUAUGGGGAUAAAGUCAAUCACGUGUGAUUGUUUGCAGGUACCAUACGAAUAAGGACCGGCUAAUUCCGUGCCAGCAGCCGCGGUAAUACGGAAGGUCCGGGCGUUAUCCGGAUUUAUUGGGUUUAAAGGGAGCGUAGGCCGGAGAUUAAGUGUGUUGUGAAAUGUAGACGCUCAACGUCUGACUUGCAGCGCAUACUGGUUUCCUUGAGUACGCACAACGUUGGCGGAAUUCGUCGUGUAGCGGUGAAAUGCUUAGAUAUGACGAAGAACUCCGAUUGCGAAGGCAGCUGACGGGAGCGCAACUGACGCUUAAGCUCGAAGGUGCGGGUAUCGAACAGG
This 762-nucleotide ribosomal RNA is filed under the name Prevotella melaninogenica. RNAcentral describes it as "bacterial SSU rRNA". It matches the Rfam family "Bacterial small subunit ribosomal RNA", at positions 28 to 776 of the family's 1533-position model. Lineage: Bacteria; Pseudomonadati; Bacteroidota; Bacteroidia; Bacteroidales; Prevotellaceae. The record is from RNAcentral.